RNAcentral lists this ribosomal RNA (253 nucleotides) under uncultured bacterium. Its description in RNAcentral is "partial 16S ribosomal RNA". It matches the Rfam family "Bacterial small subunit ribosomal RNA", at positions 524 to 776 of the family's 1533-position model. The record is from RNAcentral.
UACGGAGGGUGCAAGCGUUAUCCGGAUUUACUGGGCGUAAAGAGCGCGCAGGCGGUCGUUCAAGUCGAGUGUGAAAGCCCCCGGCUCAACUGGGGAGGGUCACUCGAUACUGAUCGACUCGAAGGCAGGAGAGGGUAGUGGAAUUCCCGGUGUAGUGGUGAAAUGCGUAGAUAUCGGGAGGAACACCAGUGGCGAAGGCGACUACCUGGCCUGUUCUUGACGCUGAGGCGCGAAAGCUAGGGGAGCAAACGGG